CAGCCGCCACGGUAAUACGGAGGGUGCAAGCGUUAUCCGGAUUUAUUGGGUUUAAAGGGUCCGUAGGCGGAUCUGUAAGUCAGUGGUGAAAUCUCACAGCUUAACUGUGAAACUGCCAUUGAUACUGCAGGUCUUGAGUAAAUUUGAAGUGGCUGGAAUAAUUAGUGUAGCGGUGAAAUGCAUAGAUAUUACUUAGAACACCAAUUGCGAAGGCAGGUCACUAAGAUUUAACUGACGCUGAUGGACGAAAGCGUGGGGAGCGAACAGGAUUAGAGACCCCCGUAGUCCCUGUCUCUUAUAC
Molecule: ribosomal RNA, 301 nt
Filed under: uncultured bacterium
Lineage: Bacteria
Description: partial 16S ribosomal RNA
Rfam family: Bacterial small subunit ribosomal RNA
Source: RNAcentral